Molecule: ribosomal RNA, 253 nt
Filed under: uncultured bacterium
Lineage: Bacteria
Description: partial 16S ribosomal RNA
Rfam family: Bacterial small subunit ribosomal RNA
Source: RNAcentral
GACAGAGGGUGCAAACGUUGUUCGGAAUUACUGGGCGUAAAGCGCGUGUAGGCGGCUUAGCAAGUCGGAUGUGAAAGCCCUGGGCUUAACCCAGGAAGUGCACUCGAAACUGCUGAGCUUGAGUUCUGGAGAGGAAGGCGGAAUUCUCGGUGUAGAGGUGAAAUUCGUAGAUAUUGGGAAGAACACCGGUGGCGAAGGCGGCUCUCUGGACCGAGACUGACGCUGAGGCGCGAAAGCGUGGGGAGCAAACAGG